Long non-coding RNA from Bos taurus (domestic cattle), 1670 nucleotides. NCBI's taxonomy places the organism in Eukaryota, Metazoa, Chordata, Mammalia, Artiodactyla, Bovidae. The record is from Ensembl.
UUGCUUAGUAGCUGUUUCUAUUAAUUUAUAUUCACAUUAUUUAUGCCCAACUAGACUGUAAGUUCCCAGAGGAUAAGAACAGGUCUUAUUUGUAUCCCUCUGAUGCCUCUGAAUAAUGAUGCUAAUAAAUACACUUUAAAUUUGAUUAGCAAUUAUAACCUUUCAAAUUACUUUCAUGGUUAUUAGCUUUUUGGUUAUAUAUUUUCACUAUUUUACAGUCAAUGAAAGUGGGACAGUAAAUGCCCUAAGGACUAAUCUAUAGGUUACACAACUGGUGCUCGGGAAAAUAUGCAUUUAACAUGUGUUGACUGUCUGAAUCACAACUAUGAAAAUUUCUCUCCUGGUUACAUAAAGUUCUUACAGCAUUUAAAAACAAAUGCUAUCAUAAAGAAUGAGAACAGCUGAAUGAUGCAGAAGACACAGUAGAAUGAUGCAGAAGUGAUCAAGUUUGACAAGGAUUAAACGGUAACAUAGCAGGAAAGCAAAAGAGAAAUCUUAGUUUUUGUCUCAAAUUGUCUACAAGAGAUUAACUUCAUAAGGCCUUGACCUCUUACCACAGAAGGUAAAACUUUAAAAAGAACGCAAAAUGUAAAGGAAAAGUCACAAAAGGGCUGAUAAACCCCCAAAUUCUAAAAAAUCACAGCAUUUUACCUCAUGCAUAUGAAAAAGUUCAAGAAGACACUUUGAAUAACUCUAAUAAGAGAUUUCCCCCCACUGUUUUGAGGAGUCCCUAAAAAACAUCAAAAUGCCCAUACAAAAAAAAUUAUCAACCUUUCAACUGAAUUCAAUAAAAUAAUGGAAAUAAACGUCAGCUGAUUCCUGAGAAUACCUACCACCCCUAAGUACCAUGUGCCUAGGGAAGCAGCAUCAUUCAUUUGGGCUUUCAAGGUUUAUUGCAUGCCUACUAAGUGCAGGGACUGGCUGAGGCCCUUCAGGAAAACAGGCCUAAAUCUCAGUUGCUGGUGUGAACUGGUGCGGGGAAUUCGGAAAGGGGAAAGGUGGCGGUAACCUUGACGGGAGGUCUGCAGAGAGGAUCCGCGCUCAUCUCCCAUCUUCUCCUGGGCAAAUCUGCGAUCCCUCCUCCUCCUCCCCCACACCGGUACGCGGAGGAGAACGGACGCCCGGGACCCCAGUCUCGCGGGCGGGGUUGGGGUGAAAUCCUGCUCUGCGUCGGCCGCUCGGUGCUCUCUUCCUGAGGGAGAAAGACGAGUGGGCGACGGGGCGGGGUCACGGCGGGCCGGGUGCUGGAAAGCUGGCCCUCUGGGGGUCUGAGGCUCCGACGCGGCCGCUGAAAAUGUAUCUGAGGCAGGGGCUCGUAGCGUGGGCUUUGUUCUGGCCGCCUUUUCCAAGGCCGCGGCCGAGACGGCUGAGCCGCUGGAGGACCGGGCGGAGAGUACCGACUCCGGCCUCGGCGGACGCCCCGGGCUCGCGCAGUGCUUUGCGACCGGCGGAGGAGGCAGAGGGGGCACCGAGGAGCCUUUUUGAAACUAAAUUGUUAAGAAUGAAAGUUGGCUCCAGGGUUUUUAUCCGGGCAUCUAGAAACAGUAGAAACUCGGAGUCUUGUCUCUGUCUUCUCCGAUCCCGAAUUAAUUGAAGCUCUCGGCCUGGCCUGCAUAUGCGGAGCGAGAGGACAGGGAGCGCCUCUCUCUUCCACCCUCUCAAACUCUCUC